AGGCCUAACACAUGCAAGUCGAGCGGUAGAGAGAAGCUUGCUUCUCUUGAGAGCGGCGGACGGGUGAGUAAUGCCUAGGAAUCUGCCUGGUAGUGGGGGAUAACGUUCGGAAACGGACGCUAAUACCGCAUACGUCCUACGGGAGAAAGCAGGGGACCUUCGGGCCUUGCGCUAUCAGAUGAGCCUAGGUCGGAUUAGCUAGUUGGUGGGGUAAUGGCUCACCAAGGCGACGAUCCGUAACUGGUCUGAGAGGAUGAUCAGUCACACUGGAACUGAGACACGGUCCAGACUCCUACGGGAGGCAGCAGUGGGGAAUAUUGGACAAUGGGCGAAAGCCUGAUCCAGCCAUGCCGCGUGUGUGAAGAAGGUCUUCGGAUUGUAAAGCACUUUAAGUUGGGAGGAAGGGUAGUAAAUUAAUACUCUGCUGUUUUGACGUUACCGACAGAAUAAGCACCGGCUAACUCUGUGCCAGCCGCCGCGGUAAUAAA
RNAcentral lists this ribosomal RNA (488 nucleotides) under Pseudomonas fluorescens. RNAcentral describes it as "bacterial SSU rRNA". It matches the Rfam family "Bacterial small subunit ribosomal RNA", at positions 44 to 527 of the family's 1533-position model. Lineage: Bacteria; Pseudomonadati; Pseudomonadota; Gammaproteobacteria; Pseudomonadales; Pseudomonadaceae. The record is from RNAcentral.